ACUGUGUUAGAACUGCUUACAAUUAAAGGUUGAAGGCAAAGAACGAUGGGUACAGGGCCACUGCUUCCAUAACAUAACAUAGGGGGGAAGGUACUGUGUUAGAACUGCUUACAAUUAUAGGUUGAAGGCAAAGAACGAUGGGUACAGGGCUGCUGCUUCUAUAACAUAACAUAGGGGGGAAGGUACUGUGUUAGAACUGCUUACAAUUAUAGGUUGAAGGCAAAGAACGAUGGGUACAGGGCUGCUGCUUCUAUAACAUAACAUAGGGGGGAAGGUACUGUGUUAGAACUGCUUACAAUUAUAGGUUGAAGGCAAAGAACGAUGGGUACAGGGCUGCUGCUUCCAUAACAUAGGGUGAAGGUAUUGUGUUAAAACUGCUUACAAUUACAGGUUGGAGGCAAAGAAUAAUGGCUACAGGGCUGUUGCUUCUGUAGCCAAGGAAUAGCCAAUAGAAUAAAUAAAAAAAUAGGGCUCAAAGUAAUAAACCUACAUAUGUAAAGAAAACUUGGAAUAUCUACCAAAUAUAUCAUCAAGAAGGAAUAUUUUAUACUUAGUUGACACCUUAUCCCGGUAGCUGCGGGGAUCAUGUUUCUUAAUGGUCCCUCUAAGCGAGAAAAAUGAGAAAAAAUCACCCCUCACGCAAACCAUUUCAUAAUAUAUAUCAAACCAUUUGUGAUCAGUUUAUGUAUCAUCUAUUUUUGGGGGUUUAUAUCAUGGUACAAAUUUGGCCCAUCGCUGCUACCGGGUUAAGAUAAGCAUGACCAUUCAACCACCAGUAAAGAAGAACAGACCAGGACAACCAGCACCUUCCCUUAACCCCUUGAUUGUGGAUUUCCUACCAGAAGACAUCACCAAGCUACAGGAAUGGAAGAAAAAGUGGCCGUUACAAUUCAAUGAAGAAAAAUAUAAAGUCAUGCACCUUGGGAGGGGACAUCCAGCACACCAAUACCACAUGGGAAACACUCCACUAUCCACCACAGAGGCAGAGGAAGACCUGAGACUAUAUGUUACCAGGUUACCAGUGAAGGCCAAAUCCGUGCCAAUCGCAGCGGACGGGUGAACAGACCCUUGACAGACAGACCAUAAAUAUGUAUAAAACAAAAUAUUGAAGGUAAAUAAAUAACCAGGCUCUAUACUAUGGCGACAAGGCCUCGAAGAUAGACCCCAUGGCAGCAAACCAGAUGAUAAUGAUGAUGAUAACUGCAAAACAUUGACCCGGAAACAAAAGUAGUAGUAGUAGUAGUAGUAGUAGUAGUAGUAGUAGUAGGAGGAGGAGGAGGAAAACAAAGCCACGAGUUUGAUUCAGGUUAAGGAAGGAGACAGGACGGAGAAAUACAAACAGUGUGGCGGAUGAAUGGAACAAACUGAACGGCUGUGAGAUUCAUGGGAUACAAACAGGUUAGUGGAUGAACGGAGCAAUUGUACAGCUGUUAGUUAAUAAUAGGCAAAAAGACUGGAGUACAAAUAGUAAUGUAGUAAUAGUAAUAAAUAAAAUAAAAUAGUAGUAAUGAAUAGUAAUAGAGUAAUGAAUGAACUGAAUAAAAUGAACACUCAACCCAGUAAGGAAAAAUAAUUAUGUAAAAUGAAGAAGAGAUUGAACAGAGGCUUCGUUAAACCUAAUUCAAGAGUUUCAAAUGACGGUUAGGUCGUUUUAAGGGACAGGAAAAUACAGGUGGUGGAGUUAAAGGGCACUGGAAGAGCAGAAAAAAGUGAACUAGGCUACCCGUGAGGAAAAACAUGAACGCUAAAUGAAGAAGAGAUUGAACAGAGGCGUCCUUAAACCUAAUUCAAGAGUUUCAAAUGAAGGUUAGGUAGUUUUAAGGGACAGGAAAAUACAGGUGGUUGACUUAAAGGGUACUGGAAGAGCAGAAAAGAGUGAACGACCAACCCCGUAACAGAAAAUAAGGACGUUAAAUGAAGAAGAGAUUGAACAGAGGCGUCGUUAAACCUAAUUCAAGAGUUUCAAAUGAAGGUUAGGUAGUUCAAAGGGACAGGAAAGAGGAAAGAAAAUACAGGUCAUGGAUAACUUGUACCCGGGGAUGCCUUGUAGCAGAAAGACAAUGUAUAAGGAACUGAAAAGAUACAUCAUUAAGAGCUAGUUCAGGAGCUUCAAAUAAAGGUAAGGUAGAUUUAAAGGACAUUAGUGAGCAGAAAACCUUGAAUGUCCAACCCCAUAAAGGAAGAUAAGGACAUUAAAUAAAGAAGGAAAUGAGCAAAUGCCUCGUUAAACCUAAUUCAAGAGUAUCAAAUGAAGGUUAGGUAGUUCAAAGUGACAGGAAAGAGGAAAGAAAAUACAGGUCGUGGAUAACUUGUACCCGGGGACUCGCACUGGCCUUGU
Molecule: long non-coding RNA, 2338 nt
Organism: Eriocheir sinensis (Chinese mitten crab)
Lineage: Eukaryota; Metazoa; Arthropoda; Malacostraca; Decapoda; Varunidae
Exons: 5
Source: RefSeq, a predicted model, not a curated record